GCCGUCUUCACAAUUUAGUUCAAUUUAAAUUAAUUUCCUCAAAUCAUUUCAAUCAUGGAUCGCGCAAUCACAUUGAUUUCUAAUCAAUAACGUGAAUACCACAACCUGAUGAACCUUCCGUUUGCACGUGUUCGGCUUCUGAUGCCGAGUAUCUAACUCCGAUCUCGUAGAUGUGUGAUCCGGUCCGGGAAGCAUGAGCACCGGUGGUGGAAGAGGUCGCUUUCAUUCUCAUACUUUAGGGGAAACUCAUCUCUUCAACCUUUGAUUUUAGAGAGAGGAAGGAGUGUACGGCUCGUCUCACUUCGCCGUCACCGAGUCCAGUCUUCAUCGUCCCGCUUGAUCAUUGGUGCAAUGAUAAAGAUGAUCAACAAGUCUCUUUCUCAUUUAUCCUUGACAACAAAGAAUCUUGUAUGGCUGCAAUCUAUGCUUCCACCAGUAACUUGAGGAGGUAGGAAUUAUGGGAUAAACUAACAUAUCUGCAACACCAACACAAUAAAUCAUGGAGCUUCAUAGGUGAUUUCAAUACUAUUAUUGGAGCACAUGAGCAUAAAUGAUCUCUCUCUCCGGCCAGACCCUUAUGAUAGAUUUUCAGAAUUGGUCAUAUACUAAUGAAUUAAUUCACAUUCCAACCAAAGGUGCGGAAUUCACUUGGAAUAAUAGAAUAUCUGGGCAUAGACAUACAAAGAGAAGACUCGACAGAACUAUUU
This 707-nucleotide long non-coding RNA is filed under the name Medicago truncatula (barrel medic). Its description in RNAcentral is "lncRNA gene35317". The record is from RNAcentral. Lineage: Eukaryota; Viridiplantae; Streptophyta; Magnoliopsida; Fabales; Fabaceae.